CAAAGAAAUAUAUAUUUAACGAUUUAUAGUAUCGCAUAAGGUUGGAAUUAAUCUGGGUACUUAGAAGAAUCAAAUAUGAAGAAAUUGAUGAUACAGACAAACUUAGAAUAUGUUUACGACAAGAAGCUGCAAGAUGGGCAUGUCUUCUUGAUGACAUCACUUGUAAGAAAGAAGCCAACAAUAAAUUAGAACAACAUCUUCAAGAUUUUGAAAAACACAAGGUUUUGCCAUGGUGGAAGGAAUGGACAUAUUGUAAAGGUUUGAUGAUAAAUACCAACAAACCGACUUGGGAAUCAGUGUAUGGUAUAGGUGUUGCAAAAAAAGACACUAAAUUUUUAGAAUACUUGGCUUGCACUGAAGAUGCUGAUAUGAUUAAAAACUAUUUAAGAUAUAAAUCUAUUUUUAAAAAAGAAAAUCAAUAUCUUCUUAACAGUUUCUUAUAUAUUAUUACGAAGCAUGCGAAUAAUCAAAUUAUUCUGAAGGACAUAUUAGAUAAUUUUGUGAACAUAAAACCAAAACAUGUUGAUAUAACUACAGCAAUAAUUAUUAUUAUUAAUAACGUAUAUUCCGUAAAUCUUCUAACUGAGGAAAUAAACGAACACGUUAAAUGGUUGAAGGUCAAUGCAAAGAUAUUAUUCGAUGAA
Nylanderia fulva is the source of this 644-nucleotide non-coding RNA. The record is from RefSeq and is a predicted model, not a curated record. Lineage: Eukaryota; Metazoa; Arthropoda; Insecta; Hymenoptera; Formicidae.